CCAGAGGAACAAAAAUACGGUCAUAUAUUGGAACGAAGAGAACAAUGGUUAAGGCGAUAAAAGUUUGAAGUGAAGCAGCUGGAAUUUGAAACCCUGGGAAGAUUGUUCUGUCCAUUGUAAUUCCUUGCUUUGUGAAUAAAGUUGAGGCUUGUGCAUACACAAUUGCAUAAGUCAAGUUUGUAACCCAUAUUGGAAUAAGCCUCAACAAUGCCUUGGCUUCUUCCACAUCCCUCACAUUGCACACCUCUUGAUCUUCCAUUAAACCAUUAGGCUCUAGCAGCAUUUUGUUGAGGAACUUGAUUUGCUCAGAACUUUGAUCACACAAGUAAGCUUCCUCCUCUG
Molecule: unclassified non-coding RNA, 342 nt
Filed under: Hevea brasiliensis (rubber tree)
Lineage: Eukaryota; Viridiplantae; Streptophyta; Magnoliopsida; Malpighiales; Euphorbiaceae
Source: RNAcentral